GGGGAUUUAGCUCAGCGGCACAAGUGCUUGCCUGGCAAGUGCAAGGACAUGAGUUCAAUCUCUUGUAACCCCCA
This 74-nucleotide transfer RNA is filed under the name Cavia porcellus (domestic guinea pig). It matches the Rfam family "tRNA". Rfam says of the family: Transfer RNA (tRNA) molecules are approximately 80 nucleotides in length. Their secondary structure includes four short double-helical elements and three loops (D, anti-codon, and T loops). Lineage: Eukaryota; Metazoa; Chordata; Mammalia; Rodentia; Caviidae. The record is from Rfam by way of RNAcentral.